GGUUAAGCGACUAAGCGUACACGGUGGAUGCCCUGGCAGUCAGAGGCGAUGAAGGACGUGCUAAUCUGCGAUAAGCGUCGGUAAGGUGAUAUGAACCGUUAUAACCGGCGAUUUCCGAAUGGGGAAACCCGGUGUGAUUCGUCACACUAUCAUUAACUGAAUCCAUAGGUUAAUGAGGCGAACCGGGGGAACUGAAACAUCUAAGUACCCCGAGGAAAAGAAAUCAACCGAGAUUCCCCCAGUAGCGGCGAGCGAACGGGGAGCAGCCCAGAGCCUGAAUCAGUGUGUGUGUUAGUGGAAGCGUCUGGAAAGGCGUGCGAUACAGGGUGACAGCCCCGUACACAAAAAUGCACAUAUUGUGAGCUCGAUGAGUAGGGCGGGACACGUGGUAUCCUGUCUGAAUAUGGGGGGACCAUCCUCCAAGGCUAAAUACUCCUGACUGACCGAUAGUGAACCAGUACCGUGAGGGAAAGGCGAAAAGAACCCCGGCGAGGGGAGUGAAAAAGAACCUGAAACCGUGUACGUACAAGCAGUGGGAGCACGCUUAGGCGUGUGACUGCGUACCUUUUGUAUAAUGGGUCAGCGACUUAUAUUCUGUAGCAAGGUUAACCGAAUAGGGGAGCCGAAGGGAAACCGAGUCUUAACUGGGCGUUAAGUUGCAGGGUAUAGACCCGAAACCCGGUGAUCUAGCCAUGGGCAGGUUGAAGGUUGGGUAACACUAACUGGAGGACCGAACCGACUAAUGUUGAAAAAUUAGCGGAUGACUUGUGGCUGGGGGUGAAAGGCCAAUCAAACCGGGAGAUAGCUGGUUCUCCCCGAAAGCUAUUUAGGUAGCGCCUCGUGAAUUCAUCUCCGGGGGUAGAGCACUGUUUCGGCAAGGGGGUCAUCCCGACUUACCAACCCGAUGCAAACUGCGAAUACCGGAGAAUGUUAUCACGGGAGACACACGGCGGGUGCUAACGUCCGUCGUGAAGAGGGAAACAACCCAGACCGCCAGCUAAGGUCCCAAAGUCAUGGUUAAGUGGGAAACGAUGUGGGAAGGCCCAGACAGCCAGGAUGUUGGCUUAGAAGCAGCCAUCAUUUAAAGAAAGCGUAAUAGCUCACUGGUCGAGUCGGCCUGCGCGGAAGAUGUAACGGGGCUAAACCAUGCACCGAAGCUGCGGCAGCGACGCUUAUGCGUUGUUGGGUAGGGGAGCGUUCUGUAAGCCUGCGAAGGUGUGCUGUGAGGCAUGCUGGAGGUAUCAGAAGUGCGAAUGCUGACAUAAGUAACGAUAAAGCGGGUGAAAAGCCCGCUCGCCGGAAGACCAAGGGUUCCUGUCCAACGUUAAUCGGGGCAGGGUGAGUCGACCCCUAAGGCGAGGCCGAAAGGCGUAGUCGAUGGGAAACAGGUUAAUAUUCCUGUACUUGGUGUUACUGCGAAGGGGGGACGGAGAAGGCUAUGUUGGCCGGGCGACGGUUGUCCCGGUUUAAGCGUGUAGGCUGGUUUUCCAGGCAAAUCCGGAAAAUCAAGGCUGAGGCGUGAUGACGAGGCACUACGGUGCUGAAGCAACAAAUGCCCUGCUUCCAGGAAAAGCCUCUAAGCAUCAGGUAACAUCAAAUCGUACCCCAAACCGACACAGGUGGUCAGGUAGAGAAUACCAAGGCGCUUGAGAGAACUCGGGUGAAGGAACUAGGCAAAAUGGUGCCGUAACUUCGGGAGAAGGCACGCUGAUAUGUAGGUGAAGUCCCUCGCGGAUGGAGCUGAAAUCAGUCGAAGAUACCAGCUGGCUGCAACUGUUUAUUAAAAACACAGCACUGUGCAAACACGAAAGUGGACGUAUACGGUGUGACGCCUGCCCGGUGCCGGAAGGUUAAUUGAUGGGGUUAGCGCAAGCGAAGCUCUUGAUCGAAGCCCCGGUAAACGGCGGCCGUAACUAUAACGGUCCUAAGGUAGCGAAAUUCCUUGUCGGGUAAGUUCCGACCUGCACGAAUGGCGUAAUGAUGGCCAGACUGUCUCCACCCGAGACUCAGUGAAAUUGAACUCGCUGUGAAGAUGCAGUGUACCCGCGGCAAGACGGAAAGACCCCGUGAACCUUUACUAUAGCUUGACACUGAACAUUGAGCCUUGAUGUGUAGGAUAGGUGGGAGGCUUUGAAGUGUGGACGCCAGUCUGCAUGGAGCCGACCUUGAAAUACCACCCUUUAAUGUUUGAUGUUCUAACGUUGACCCGUAAUCCGGGUUGCGGACAGUGUCUGGUGGGUAGUUUGACUGGGGCGGUCUCCUCCUAAAGAGUAACGGAGGAGCACGAAGGUUGGCUAAUCCUGGUCGGACAUCAGGAGGUUAGUGCAAUGGCAUAAGCCAGCUUGACUGCGAGCGUGACGGCGCGAGCAGGUGCGAAAGCAGGUCAUAGUGAUCCGGUGGUUCUGAAUGGAAGGGCCAUCGCUCAACGGAUAAAAGGUACUCCGGGGAUAACAGGCUGAUACCGCCCAAGAGUUCAUAUCGACGGCGGUGUUUGGCACCUCGAUGUCGGCUCAUCACAUCCUGGGGCUGAAGUAGGUCCCAAGGGUAUGGCUGUUCGCCAUUUAAAGUGGUACGCGAGCUGGGUUUAGAACGUCGUGAGACAGUUCGGUCCCUAUCUGCCGUGGGCGCUGGAGAAUUGAGGGGGGCUGCUCCUAGUACGAGAGGACCGGAGUGGACGCAUCACUGGUGUUCGGGUUGUCAUGCCAAUGGCACUGCCCGGUAGCUAAAUGCGGAAGAGAUAAGUGCUGAAAGCAUCUAAGCACGAAACUUGCCCCGAGAUGAGUUCUCCCUGACUCCUUGAGAGUCCUGAAGGAACGUUGAAGACGACGACGUUGAUAGGCCGGGUGUGUAAGCGCAGCGAUGCGUUGAGCUAACCGGUACUAAUGAACCGUGAGGCUUAACCUU
This 2904-nucleotide ribosomal RNA is filed under the name Escherichia coli IAI1. Its description in RNAcentral is "bacterial LSU rRNA". It matches the Rfam family "Bacterial large subunit ribosomal RNA". The record is from RNAcentral. Lineage: Bacteria; Pseudomonadati; Pseudomonadota; Gammaproteobacteria; Enterobacterales; Enterobacteriaceae.